This 362-nucleotide ribosomal RNA is filed under the name uncultured archaeon. RNAcentral's name for it is "bacterial SSU rRNA". It matches the Rfam family "Archaeal small subunit ribosomal RNA", at positions 1 to 359 of the family's 1478-position model. The record is from RNAcentral.
UUCGCCCUUUUCCGGUUGAUCCUGCCGGACCUGACUGCUAUCGGAUUGAUACUAAGCCAUGCGAGUCAUUGUAGCAAUACAAGGCAGACGGCUCAGUAACGCGUAGUCAACCUACCCUAUGGACGGGAAUAACCUCGGGAAACUGAGUAUAAUGCCCGAUAGAACACUAUACCUGGAAUGGUUUGUGUUUCAAACGAUUUAUUGCCGUAGGAUGGGACUGCGGCCUAUCAGUUUGUUGGUGAGGUAAUGGCCCACCAAGACUAUUACAGGUACGGGCUCUGAGAGGAGUGGCCCGGAGAUGGGUACUGAGACACGGAUCCAGGCCCUAUGGGGCGCAGCAGGCGAGAAAACUUUGCAAUGUG